Peromyscus maniculatus bairdii (prairie deer mouse) is the source of this 831-nucleotide non-coding RNA. NCBI's taxonomy places the organism in Eukaryota, Metazoa, Chordata, Mammalia, Rodentia, Cricetidae. The record is from RefSeq and is a predicted model, not a curated record.
GGGGAAGCAAUGUUGUAAAUCUCAGGCCCCACAGAGACACUCAGAACAAGACACGAGAGUUGAGUUCUGGGACAAAAUCAUCGCAGCAGAGGUACUGGUAGGAUAAUGACCAUCGGACAAUUUUGGUUUAUCGAAGAAAAGUUCAUUACUCCUCUCCACCAUCUGUGGGGGCUGCCAUUAUUCUCAGUUCAUAGAUGAGAAAAUUGCAGGGCAAAAGGCUUUGUGACUUGUCCCAGGUCAACAAGCUAACAGGUGUCUGGAAUUUGAACCCGAGCCCACGCUGUUCGUUACUGGCCUCUGUGCCUCUCCCAUGGCAACCAAGGGUAGGUGAAGGGAGACCGCAGAUUCCUGGGGGCAGAGCGGCUUACAGCGCCGGGCUCUUAAAGGCAUGUUUGGAUUGCUCUGUGGGGACCUAUCCCAGUGCCUCUUCCACUCUGUGGAUUUUCCCUCCGUGAACUGGACCCGGUCAUCUGGAGUGAAGACAGCCCCCACUGAGGAGCCAGGAAGUGGAAACAACCUAAACGGCAUUCAACUAAUGAAUAAUGGGCUACAUAUAUACAAUGGAAUUCUCUUGGUAAAGAAAAAUGAAAUUUGCAGGACACAGAUGGAACCAGAGACUAUUGUGCUGACUAAGGUAGCCCCCACCCUGCCCCCAGGAAAGAAACACCACAUUCACUCACACGGAGGCAUAUGGCUAUAGUUUGCACGAAGUGAGGCUUUACUAUCAGAGAGAGAUAUUGGUAAUGACAUAGAUGCCCUUUACCAUGUUAGACAUGCUUUCCUUUUCCUUAUUUACCAAAAGAUUUUUAUCAUAAAAUCAUUUGAAUUUUA